UUAAGCGACUAAGCGUACACGGUGGAUGCCCUGGCAGUCAGAGGCGAUGAAGGACGUGCUAAUCUGCGAAAAGCGUCGGUAAGGUGAUAUGAACCGUUAUAAACCGGCGAUGUCCGAAUGGGGAAACCCAGUGCAAUUCGUUGCACUAUCGUUAACUGAAUACAUAGGUUAACGAGGCGAACCGGGGGAACUGAAACAUCUAAGUACCCCGAGGAAAAGAAAUCAACCGAGAUUCCCCCAGUAGCGGCGAGCGAACGGGGAGCAGCCCAGAGUCUGAAUCAGCUUGUGUGUUAGUGGAACGGUCUGGAAAGUCCGACGGUACAGGGUGAUAGUCCCGUACACCAAAAUGCACAGGCUGUGAACUCGAAGAGUAGGGCGGGACACGUGGUAUCCUGUCUGAAUAUGGGGGGACCAUCCUCCAAGGCUAAAUACUCCUGACUGACCGAUAGUGAACCAGUACCGUGAGGGAAAGGCGAAAAGAACCCCGGCGAGGGGAGUGAAAAAGAACCUGAAACCGUGUACGUACAAGCAGUGGGAGCACCUUCGGGUGUGACUGCGUACCUUUUGUAUAAUGGGUCAGCGACUUAUAUUCUGUAGCAAGGUUAACCGUAUAGGGGAGCCGCAGGGAAACCGAGUCUUAACUGGGCGUUAAGUUGCAGGGUAUAGACCCGAAACCCGGUGAUCUAGCCAUGGGCAGGUUGAAGGUUGGGUAACACUAACUGGAGGACCGAACCGACUAAUGUUGAAAAAUUAGCGGAUGACUUGUGGCUGGGGGUGAAAGGCCAAUCAAACCGGGAGAUAGCUGGUUCUCCCCGAAAGCUAUUUAGGUAGCGCCUCGUGAACUCAUCUUCGGGGGUAGAGCACUGUUUCGGCUAGGGGGUCAUCCCGACUUACCAACCCGAUGCAAACUACGAAUACCGAAGAAUGUUAUCACGGGAGACACACGGCGGGUGCUAACGUCCGUCGUGAAGAGGGAAACAACCCAGACCGCCAGCUAAGGUCCCAAAGUCAUGGUUAAGUGGGAAACGAUGUGGGAAGGCACAGACAGCCAGGAUGUUGGCUUAGAAGCAGCCAUCAUUUAAAGAAAGCGUAAUAGCUCACUGGUCGAGUCGGCCUGCGCGGAAGAUGUAACGGGGCUAAACCAUGCACCGAAGCUGCGGCAGCGACACGAUGUGUUGUUGGGUAGGGGAGCGUUCUGUAAGCCUGCGAAGGUGACCUGUGAGGGUUGCUGGAGGUAUCAGAAGUGCGAAUGCUGACAUAAGUAACGAUAAAGCGGGUGAAAAGCCCGCUCGCCGGAAGACCAAGGGUUCCUGUCCAACGUUAAUCGGGGCAGGGUGAGUCGACCCCUAAGGCGAGGCCGAAAGGCGUAGUCGAUGGGAAACAGGUUAAUAUUCCUGUACUUGGUGUUACUGCGAAGGGGGGACGGAGAAGGCUAUGUUAGCCGGGCGACGGUUGUCCCGGUUUAAGCAUGUAGGCUGGUUAUCCAGGCAAAUCCGGAUAAUCAAGGCUGAGGUGUGAUGACGAGGCACUACGGUGCUGAAGUAACAAAUGCCCUGCUUCCAGGAAAAGCCUCUAAGCAUCAGGUAACAUCAAAUCGUACCCCAAACCGACACAGGUGGUCAGGUAGAGAAUACCAAGGCGCUUGAGAGAACUCGGGUGAAGGAACUAGGCAAAAUGGUGCCGUAACUUCGGGAGAAGGCACGCUGGUGUGUAGGUGAAGUCCCUGCGGAUGGAGCUGAGACCAGUCGAAGAUACCAGCUGGCUGCAACUGUUUAUUAAAAACACAGCACUGUGCAAACACGAAAGUGGACGUAUACGGUGUGACGCCUGCCCGGUGCCGGAAGGUUAAUUGAUGGGGUUAUCCGUAAGGAGAAGCUCUUGAUCGAAGCCCCGGUAAACGGCGGCCGUAACUAUAACGGUCCUAAGGUAGCGAAAUUCCUUGUCGGGUAAGUUCCGACCUGCACGAAUGGCGUAAUGAUGGCCAGGCUGUCUCCACCCGAGACUCAGUGAAAUUGAACUCGCUGUGAAGAUGCAGUGUACCCGCGGCAAGACGGAAAGACCCCGUGAACCUUUACUAUAGCUUGACACUGAACAUUGAGCCUUGAUGUGUAGGAUAGGUGGGAGGCUUUGAAGCGUGGACGCCAGUCUGCGUGGAGCCAACCUUGAAAUACCACCCUUUAAUGUUUGAUGUUCUAACGUUGGCCCCUGACCGGGGUUGCGGACAGUGUCUGGUGGGUAGUUUGACUGGGGCGGUCUCCUCCCAAAGCGUAACGGAGGAGCACGAAGGUUAGCUAAUCCUGGUCGGACAUCAGGAGGUUAGUGCAAUGGCAUAAGCUAGCUUGACUGCGAGCGUGACGGCGCGAGCAGGUGCGAAAGCAGGUCAUAGUGAUCCGGUGGUUCUGAAUGGAAGGGCCAUCGCUCAACGGAUAAAAGGUACUCCGGGGAUAACAGGCUGAUACCGCCCAAGAGUUCAUAUCGACGGCGGUGUUUGGCACCUCGAUGUCGGCUCAUCACAUCCUGGGGCUGAAGUAGGUCCCAAGGGUAUGGCUGUUCGCCAUUUAAAGUGGUACGCGAGCUGGGUUUAGAACGUCGUGAGACAGUUCGGUCCCUAUCUGCCGUGGGCGCUGGAGAAUUGAGGGGGGCUGCUCCUAGUACGAGAGGACCGGAGUGGACGCAUCACUGGUGUUCGGGUUGUCAUGCCAAUGGCACUGCCCGGUAGCUAAAUGCGGAAGAGAUAAGUGCUGAAAGCAUCUAAGCACGAAACUUGCCCCGAGAUGAGUUCUCCCUGAGACUUUAAGUCUCCUGAAGGAACGUUAAAGACGAUGACGUUGAUAGGCCGGGUGUGUAAGCGCAGCGAUGCGUUGAGCUAACCGGUACUAAUGAACCGUGAGGCUUAACCU
RNAcentral lists this ribosomal RNA (2900 nucleotides) under Klebsiella quasipneumoniae. RNAcentral's name for it is "23S ribosomal RNA". It matches the Rfam family "Bacterial large subunit ribosomal RNA". The record is from RNAcentral. Lineage: Bacteria; Pseudomonadati; Pseudomonadota; Gammaproteobacteria; Enterobacterales; Enterobacteriaceae.